AUCUUUCAUAUUCAUCCCUCAUUCUCUCUCUAGGUACCGCACCAUAGUCUUUCAAAGGAGAAAAGGAUCAAAUAACAGGUAGAAAUGGCAGAAACUAAGAGAAUUGGUAUGGUGAUUCUUUUUAUUGCAGUGGUGAUAUCGUCUUUAUGUGUUGACGAAGCUUAUGGACUAUUCGAGUGUUAUAAAAAUUGCAUGCACGAAUGUAUUGCCGAAUAUUGGGAUUGCGUUGUCGGCUGCAACUACCAUUGUAACAUACCGAUGAGGGAAAAGACUGGAAUGCCGGGAAAACCACGCAUCUGAGCACCCUAUGAUUAUUGAUGUGCGAAGGACAUUUUAUUACAAAUAGGAGAUAAGCGUGGAGACAAAAUACAAUAUACAAAACAUUCAAAAAUUAUCUUUUCGAUGUAAUCGUUUUUCUCUUAUUUGAUAUGUACAUCAAUAUAUAAAAAUGUCUAUGUGUUUACAUGAAAAUGUGGGUUUUUCUAAUUGAUCCAUAAAAAAUUAUGAACUAUGUGACUUUGGAUA
Long non-coding RNA from Papaver somniferum (opium poppy), 525 nucleotides. RefSeq lists it as uncharacterized. Lineage: Eukaryota; Viridiplantae; Streptophyta; Magnoliopsida; Ranunculales; Papaveraceae. The transcript is spliced from 2 exons. The record is from RefSeq and is a predicted model, not a curated record.